ACGAACGCUGGCGGCGUGCUUAACACAUGCAAGUCGAACGCUCCUAGAGGUUGGAGAUUAGAGGUUAGAAGCUGGAUUUAAAGCCCGUGUUUCGGGCGGGGCUACAAGGAAAGCCCGAGGUCUAAUUUCCGACUUCCAAUCUCCAACCUCCAGAAGAGAGUGGCGCACGGGUGAGUAACACGUGGGCAAUCUGCCCGGAAGACUGGGAUAACAGCGCGAAAGUGCUGCUAAUACCGGAUACCUUCACGAAGUCGCAUGACUUUGUGCAGAAAGUUUUUCGCUUCCGGAUGAGCCCGCGUCCCAUUAGCUAGUUGGUGAGGU
Molecule: ribosomal RNA, 321 nt
Filed under: uncultured bacterium
Lineage: Bacteria
Description: partial 16S ribosomal RNA
Rfam family: Bacterial small subunit ribosomal RNA
Source: RNAcentral